RNAcentral lists this non-coding RNA (202 nucleotides) under Theobroma cacao (cacao). Its description in RNAcentral is "Bacterial large subunit ribosomal RNA". It matches the Rfam family "Bacterial large subunit ribosomal RNA", at positions 1797 to 2007 of the family's 2925-position model. Lineage: Eukaryota; Viridiplantae; Streptophyta; Magnoliopsida; Malvales; Malvaceae. The record is from Rfam by way of RNAcentral.
CAACUUGACAAAACACAGGACUCUGCAAAGUGGUAACACGAUGUAUAGAGUCUGACACCUGCCCAGUGCUGGAAAGUUAAAAGGAGAAGUGUUAUAAGUUUUGAAUGAAAGCCCCGGUGGACCACGGUCGUAACUAUAACGGUCCUAAAAGUAAUGGAAAUUCUUUGUAGGUAAGUUUCGACUCGCACAAAAAGCGUAAUGA